This 203-nucleotide long non-coding RNA is filed under the name Elaeis guineensis (African oil palm). RNAcentral's name for it is "long non-coding RNA (EGUI_LNC013824)". Lineage: Eukaryota; Viridiplantae; Streptophyta; Magnoliopsida; Arecales; Arecaceae. The record is from RNAcentral.
UAGCCAGAACUAGGACCGGCCCAACCCAACCUUUAGACUCGCCAUCCAAGCCCAAGCCUGAUAGCUUCGAGCGUCAUGCUGGGCCUUGGACUGAAGGACCAAGUAGGUGGGGAGGGCCUCGGGCUUUCGGAAUUUAAACUCAAAGAAACAAAAUAAGAAAUGGAAGGAGCUUCUGGAUCUCAGGGAGAAAAGGGCGAAAGGCG